Molecule: ribosomal RNA, 460 nt
Filed under: uncultured bacterium
Lineage: Bacteria
Description: partial 16S ribosomal RNA
Rfam family: Bacterial small subunit ribosomal RNA
Source: RNAcentral
CCUACGGGAGACAGCAGUGAGGAAUAUUGGUCAAUGGACGAGAGUCUGAACCAGCCAAGUAGCGUGAAGGAUGACUGCCCUAUGGGUUGUAAACUUCUUUUAUAUGGGAAUAAAAUGUUCCACGUGUGGGAUUUUGUAUGUAUCAUAUGAAUAAGGAUCGGCUAACUCCGUGCCAGCAGCCGCGGUAAUACGGAGGAUCCGAGCGUUAUCCGGAUUUAUUGGGUUUAAAGGGAGCGUAGGUGGAUUGUUAAGUCAGUUGUGAAAGUUUGCGGCUCAACCGUAAAAUUGCAGUUGAAACUGGCAGUCUUGAGUACAGUAGAGGUGGGCGGAAUUCGUGGUGUAGCGGUGAAAUGCUUAGAUAUCACGAAGAACUCCGAUUGCGAAGGCAGUUCACUGGACUGCAACUGACACUGAGGCUCGAAAGUGUGGGUAUCAAACAGGAUUAGAUACCCCUGUAGUC